This 786-nucleotide ribosomal RNA is filed under the name Triticum aestivum (bread wheat). Its description in RNAcentral is "partial small subunit ribosomal RNA". The record is from RNAcentral. Lineage: Eukaryota; Viridiplantae; Streptophyta; Magnoliopsida; Poales; Poaceae.
AUGGCUUCUGCUGCGUCCAAGUCCAAGUCCGCGGCCGUCUUGGUCCUCCUCGUCUCCCUUGCCGGCGUGGCCACCACCGUGGACGCCAGGUUCAGGGCCAUGCAGUGGACUCCCGCCCACGCCACGUUCUAUGGCGACGAGGCUACGGCCGAGACGAUGGGCGGGGCGUGCGGGUACGAUAUCACGGCGGGGUACGGCGCGGACACGGCGGCGCUGAGCUCGACGCUGUUCCUGGACGGCUACGGGUGCGGGACGUGCUACCAGAUCCGGUGCGUGAAAGCCACGGCCUGCUACAGGGGCUCGCCGGUGCUCACGGUGACCGCGACCAACCUGUGCCCGCCCAACUGGGCGCAGGACACCAACAACGGCGGCUGGUGCAACCCGCCGCGCACCCACUUCGACCUCGCCAUCCCGGCCUUCAAGAAGAUGGCCGACUGGCAUGCGGGCAUCGUCCCCGUCAUGUACCGCAGGGUGCCGUGCAUGCGCAAGGGCGGGAUCCGGUUCGCGUUCCAGGGGAACCCGCACUGGCUGCUGGUGUACGUCACCAACGUCGGCGGCGCCGGCGACGUCGGGGAGAUGUGGGUGAAGGGCAGCGGCGGCAUGGUGUGGCUGCGCAUGAGCCACAACUGGGGCGCAUCGUACCAGGCGUUCGGGCAGCUCGGCGGCCAGGCGCUCAGCUUCAAGCUCACCUCCUACACCACCGGGCUGACCAUCGUCGCCGCCGACGCCGCGCCGGCGAGCUGGAGCAUCGGGCUCACGUACCAGGCUCGCGCCAACUUCAAAUAG